This is a non-coding RNA of Nerophis lumbriciformis (worm pipefish), 257 nucleotides long. NCBI's taxonomy places the organism in Eukaryota, Metazoa, Chordata, Actinopteri, Syngnathiformes, Syngnathidae. The record is from RefSeq and is a predicted model, not a curated record.
AUUCAAAAAGAAGAUCAUCCAACAAUGCAGAAAGCUUCCCUCCAUCACUGAGCUUGAGGAACUCCUGAUGGCAGCUGACCCUCCUGAGGAUGGGGCUGAAGUGAACGUUGACUUUGGUUGGGACAGUGACCUCUCAUCGAUUUUGCUGCUCUUACACUUGAUCCCACCGACUGCUCUAGGUCGGAAGAGGCCAGGAAAAGUUUCUGCAUCCCGGGCUGAGAAGCAUCUUGUGACUGGAACAAGCAUCCAAGAACAUC